This 164-nucleotide ribosomal RNA is filed under the name Scaevola taccada (beach naupaka). RNAcentral describes it as "5.8S ribosomal RNA". It matches the Rfam family "5.8S ribosomal RNA". From Rfam's summary of the family: 5.8S ribosomal RNA (5.8S rRNA) is a component of the large subunit of the eukaryotic ribosome. Lineage: Eukaryota; Viridiplantae; Streptophyta; Magnoliopsida; Asterales; Goodeniaceae. The record is from RNAcentral.
ACCAACGACUCUCGGCAACGGAUAUCUCGGCUCAUGCAUCGAUGAAGAACGUAGCGAAAUGCGAUACUUGGUGUGAAUUGCAGAAUCCCGUGAACCAUCGAGUUUUUGAACGCAAGUUGCGCCCGAAGCCAUUCGGCCGAGGGCACGUCUGCCUGGGCGUCACA